Molecule: long non-coding RNA, 642 nt
Organism: Neoarius graeffei (lesser salmon catfish)
Lineage: Eukaryota; Metazoa; Chordata; Actinopteri; Siluriformes; Ariidae
Exons: 3
Source: RefSeq, a predicted model, not a curated record
UUUAUGUUUCGUCCCGAAAAAGAUCCGAAUCGUUUGUGAAUCUCAUCACUGUUAGAAACCCAAGAGAAGAGAUCCUCUUCCCUUAACAUCAUCAGAGGAAAAAUCUGCUUCUUAAUCAGUUAGUUUCAGCGUUUGUCUCUUCUCGAGCAAGGCGUGGUGAGACACUUUACACAAGAUUUACCUGUAAUUCAUAACGCGCUCUGUGACCUUCUCCCUCCCUCAGGACUCUGUGGUCUGUGUGUUCUGGUGUCUGCUGAGUCACCAGAAAUCUGCCAAGACACUGACACUUGCACCUGCUCCAACAUCUGGCGCAUAAGGGCUUUAAGGUUUCAGGACCAAGCUGCAAUAUUGUAUGGACACUUAAGUAUUUGAACUUUUGAAGUUUUGAACUUUCUCAAGGCUGUCAUUCUAGACACAAAACGCCCUGUAACUAAACAUGCACUGAUGUCUUUUCUGGGUCAGAAAAUGGAUCCCUGACUGCUCUUUAUAUGACAAGCUUCUCCGUUCCGCAAUCUCUCAUCACGAUCCACUGCAACAUCCUUUGACCUGGACUGACGCUAUGGUGGUCGCUUAUCACUCCCUCAGAAGCACCCUUUGUUCCGCCCCUGGGUUACCUGAUCACUUCAAGCCCUUCCACCUCUA